Molecule: RNA transcript, 1869 nt
Organism: Dreissena polymorpha
Lineage: Eukaryota; Metazoa; Mollusca; Bivalvia; Myida; Dreissenidae
Exons: 3
Source: RefSeq, a predicted model, not a curated record
CUAUAACCCAAUAUGAGUUGUUUGCCACCGGUCAGUGCGCAUGAGUGAAAACUCCCAAUCGUAAUCAGUAAUAAUCAACUUGUCUAUAUGUUUGUCUUCAUCCAUACUAGAGCGCAUUCUCGUGAUAUACUUCGGAAGUUAUAAGUUCCAAGAUGUUCGUCUACGUUAUAAUUUCAUCCUGCAUCGUGGCUAUUGUGGCUGCUAAUUGUAGUAUCAAUCCGUGCCUAAACGGAGGCACAUGCAAUGCCUUACAUAAAAACGACACUGCACAAUUUUACUGCCGCUGUCCAUCCGGGUGGAAGGGGCGCUUUUGCCAGGCCCGUGCGACACCAAUGCUUUCGUCUAGACCUGCGAGAAUUGAAUAACUGAAUCAUGUGAACAGCAUUUUUUGACAAACAUGCUCCUCACUCUGCUUAAUUGUGGUCAACGAAAAGAGGAAAUAAUUUCCAAAUAGUCAAAAUAUGCAGGGAUGUCAGUAUGUUUAUAAGAAGGAAGAUUAAGUAGAAGAGGGAAAUAAAAUAAAGACUUAAUUUUACUUCAAGCUUGUAUUUAUGAUUUCAAUGUCAACAUUAUAUUAUAUCAUUGUAAAUCCAACACAUGAAUUUGACUGUGGAAUGUUACAAAAUUAAUCAACAAUGUUUAUAUGGUACAUUAAAUCAAUAAUUGUUUACUUCAGUGAAAUUUAUAAUGAGCAAGAUAAUAGCGAUACAGACACGUAGACUCGUAAUUGUGUUUUUGUGUGGAAUGAACGAAUCUGCAUAGACUGAUUGGGAUUUCUAAACGGAGAACAUAUCUUUUGUACAUGAAGGAGUUUUUGUCUGUUCAUCAGAAAAAUAUUUACUAUUUAAUACAACUUUUCUUUCCUUUAUUUUCUGGUGCUACUUCUUCUGAACUUGUAUUAUAGUUUUCAUUAAUCAACGUUUUAUAUCUUUUAAAAAGAAACAAGAACGUAAAUACUCAGUUUCAGCUUAAACAAUAAAUAUAUUGAAGAACGCUAUACGGCGUUAAUUUCAAAUAUGAUAGUUGAAAAUAAAAAUUCUAUAUUCACCGGUGAUUGCAUAGAGUUUAAUUAAAAAACUUAAUAAACGUGCAUCACUUGUUUAUCCCUUAUCCGUCGUAAAUCAAUUAUUGUAUCAACUUAAAAAGUUUAUUGCAUGAACAGUUUAUAAAGUUUCUACCAUUUAACAUGGUACAUCUCGCGAUGUUUAUCACAUAAAACAUAUAUGUAACGCACGAUUGUAAUUUAAAAUUGAACGUCAUACAUGUGUGGUUAGAUCAUUAAACGAGUUUCCCCUUAUAACGACACCUUUAGUAUUUUGGUAGUUUUGGUUUUUUCUAACAAUAAAAAUUAGUAGCAUUUACCAAUAGGGUUUCAUUCAUUUUUUUCUCAAUCAUUCAUGUUAUUGUAUAUCUUGAAAGCAAUACUGUGGUAUCAUCAUAAGGCCCUUAACGGUAGUCCAUUGUGUAUUCCCCUGACGAUUAACUGACAGAUUACUGACCCUGAAAUUCUGCAAGGUGAAAUUUAAUGUGUAAUGGUAACUGAGCCUAAUUCUGUGUCUAUGAGUCUUUUCGAAGUUUCUGAGAAUAGUUUGGAUAUCUAAACACUGAAGAGUGUUUAAUACUAUUUGAUGGACUAAAAGACGUAGUGAUGUGGCCAUUGUUCUGGGGGAUUUCUCUCAAAUCGGCCAAAAAUAUUCGGAUGUAUUCAUUCGCGUCUACUGGAAAUUUUCUCAGCACUUCAUAGCUAUCAAUAUAGGUCAUUUAAGGUGAUUAAAGCUGGAUUAAACAGCUAUGUCGAAACAAGUAUUAAUAGUAAAUUGGAUGUUGAACCUCAUUUUUAUCAUCUCAGGUCUAAUUAAAAAGCCUGCA